UCUCUUUUGACCUCAGGCUCUUUUGCUGUCGGAUGCCUUUCUUCAUAGUUACGCACUUCACAAUUCUGCAUAAUUAGCACAAGACACAGGCAGAAGACCAGAUAUUCAUUGUUUCACAAUCUUUUGACACGAUUUGCACUGAUCCUUUGGUGUGAGCCAUCACAAUGGAGCAGCUAGUGAAGAUGCUGACUCACAGCUCCAGCAAACCAAGAUCUGACAUUGCUGAAAUGGAUAUGACGCACUCUAUAUACAUUGGAUCUUUGUUGAGGUGCAGCGUAUUACUCCACAUUUGCGCUUUACUCUUUGUUCGGCUCGACCUAUUUGCGUGAACAGGCGUUCAGCAUCAUGAACAUCAACAAAGCCAGCCACAGAUCCAAGUUAACUGACCGACACCUCAGAUCCAUCCUGAGAAUCGCCACAACAAAACUAAAUCCAGACUUUGAUGCGCUGGCUAAAAAGGGAGACCAACAACACUGUUCCCACUGAAAUUAAAAAUAUGUUUCUUCGUUGUGUUAUGUAAAAAAUGCAUUUGAAAAUAUUUUUUUCAAUAAGCCUUACAUGUUACAUGUCAUUUCUGUUAAGUGAUGGACAUGAGUAGUGCGCAGGUGCACGUACGUUCUCAAAAUAAAAAAUGCGCUCCCGAUCAAAUAACGCGCUCCGCAUACUGGCGCGCUGUCACUGUUCUGUCUUUGUGCUGGUCGUUGUUGAGUUUUGGCACAGGGGCCAAUUGAAUAAGAAGGAGCAGGACAAGUAGACCUGCAUCUCCUACCGUUUUUGAAAUAAAGACAGUCAGGAGGAGAGUGAUGAUGAUAAUAUCUUGAAGGAUAACAGAAUUUUCAGUGCUUUAAAAUAAUAACUGUUACUAUUAAAAAAGCUGUAUUUUAUUCAUUUAAUUUUCAG
Long non-coding RNA from Hypanus sabinus (Atlantic stingray), 900 nucleotides. RefSeq lists it as uncharacterized. NCBI's taxonomy places the organism in Eukaryota, Metazoa, Chordata, Chondrichthyes, Myliobatiformes, Dasyatidae. The transcript has 3 exons. The record is from RefSeq and is a predicted model, not a curated record.